UUACGGCCAUAUCACGUUGAAAAACCAGUUCCCGUACGAUCACCGAAGUUAAGCAAUGAUGAGCUUGGUCAGUAUCUAGAGGGAUGACGCUUGCGAAUAACAGGUGCUGUAAG
This is a non-coding RNA of Acanthosepion pharaonis, 113 nucleotides long. NCBI's taxonomy places the organism in Eukaryota, Metazoa, Mollusca, Cephalopoda, Sepiida, Sepiidae. The record is from the annotation of a GenBank genome assembly.